AAGUCGUAACAAGGUAACCGUAGGUGAACCUGCGGUUGGAUCAUUAAAAAAUCAAAAGCCAGUCAUCGAGUACCGCUUUGUCAAGGGUGACCGUUCGACUUGUUGACGCUAAGUCCAAGUUGAAGCUUGGUGUGCGCGAAGCAAAGCUGGGAAAAAAUGAAUGUUGGCACCACAUCUUGUGAACAGUAAAUGUCUUUGGUGGUUGGGCGGUUUGCUUGUUUCGAGCUUCCGUCUGUCAGCUUGUGUUUAACAACUCAAGCCGUGGACAAGCCACCGUUUGUUUGUCUAAACCUAUUUGUCUUCUAUUUUUUUCUGUCUAACAUUUUUUUUGUAUAAAUAUACAAACAACUUUUGGCAACGGAUCUCUUGGUUCUC
RNAcentral lists this unclassified non-coding RNA (375 nucleotides) under Spizellomyces dolichospermus. RNAcentral describes it as "partial internal transcribed spacer region". The stretch from base 1 to 46 matches the Rfam family "Eukaryotic small subunit ribosomal RNA", at positions 1786 to 1831 of the family's 1831-position model. Lineage: Eukaryota; Fungi; Chytridiomycota; Chytridiomycetes; Spizellomycetales; Spizellomycetaceae. The record is from RNAcentral.